Molecule: long non-coding RNA, 1787 nt
Organism: Myxocyprinus asiaticus (Chinese sucker)
Lineage: Eukaryota; Metazoa; Chordata; Actinopteri; Cypriniformes; Catostomidae
Exons: 6
Source: RefSeq, a predicted model, not a curated record
CAAAAAGCCCGCAAGAGGGUACACUACAGCUUAUCUGAAUGCUUUCUAACCGGGGCUUGUUGUCGCACUUAAUUACUCCGGUGAAUAUUCCUACAGGUCACAGUCGAAGUUGCCCAUCCUCCACCUCAAGUCUUACUAGGCCUGAGUCAAAACAACCCAGUUGCUGAGAGUUAUCUGUCGCGGGCGUUUUGGAUUGUCUUCAGGAGGGACUCGAGUCAGCACUUCUAAAGCGGAUAUACUGGAGCAUUUUUUUCUGGUGAAAUAAAGGUGGUCUGAUAAUACAUGAAUGAUUGCUUUGUACAGGAGAAGUUAAUUGAAUGGCAGGUUCCUGAACUUGUAAAUAGUUUUGAAGGAAACAUGGUAUACUCAAAGCCGAAAUCAAAGACCAGCCGCUGGGUUCAUUGAAGAGAGACUGAGGAACAUAUACGUAAACAAUUGAGGAGCUUGAGACCACAAAGAGAGAAUGAAGAUUCACAGUGUAGGACAUUCAUACCAGAAUCAACCAUAUCUGAUGAAAGAGCUAACAAGAUGAAACAAUGGCUGAGAAAUAACAGCCCAUCAGCCAGGUGGAACAGUACAUGUGGGAUACCGCAUUGUACAGGGCACGGUGUAUAAGGGCUAGCAACUCUAAAAAUACAUUUGAGGUCCUCCAUGAGUUUCCUCAUCUAAUUACCCCAGGCAUGAUUGCACAGGACUUUUUAAUUUUACAUGAGGAGGCAGCACCAAAACUGUUUGAAAAAUGGCUUCCUUGGUAUGCUGACAGGAUCUUGAAUCUUGCGAAAUGGGAAGGCAAGCUUCCACUUUCAAUUGAAGAUAUGACGCAAAGUCCCCCUUUUUUUUUUUUUUUUUAUAAAAAGUUUACAUAUUGCAUAUUUGUUAUUACUAAAUGACAGCCCGUCACAACUACUGUUUAGUAGUGUUGAUAAAUGUACAAAUAUUUUCCUACAGAUGCCAAGGGAAAUCUUGCACUUAAGAUGUUACCUGUUAUGCUUCCACCUCCGGCUUAUACAAUUGGCAGAAAAACAUAUAGAAGAGUAUGUUUGUGUAAAUGGGUGUUUUACUGCUAAUUGAACUAGUGUAUUUUAUAGUUUUAAUUUUAUGUGCUCAUACUGUAGAUUAAAAACAAUAUGGGUUCUUUGUAAUAGACAAUUGUUUUAUUGCAUCUUGGGGUACAUAUUUUGGAUAAAUAAUAUGGGUUGUUUGUAGAGGCAACUGUUUCAUUGCACCUUGAGGUAUUUUAGAGUUCAUGAAUUUUCAUAAAUGUUAAUACAUUUACAUUGCUUUUCAACGGUAUACACUUAAACCAUAAUAUUAAAAUUGUGUUUGUUUGGAAUGCUUUAGCACUGUUUAUAAAUGAAAUUUGUGAUUUAGUUUUAUUCUAUAAGCUCUUGAAUCUUUGAGGUAAAAUGUAAUUAUUAUUGCACGUACUGAAAAAUGAUAUUAAUAAGAGAAUAAAGGAGAUACUAUGUUGACAUAUUUUGUUUAUAAUGUGGUAUAUUUUUGAAAUAAAUAAACGCUCAAGCUAGUAUGUACAUAUUCCAGAAAUGAAUGUCAACAUUAUGAACAGCACACUAUAUAGUAAAUGUGAACUGGUUAAAGUCAAACACACAGGUGGGGUCGAUGAGCAUCAACAGGUUAAAACUAUGAAGACAGAGAAACGUUGACUCCUGUAACAAUCUGCACGUCGCUGUUGGAUACUUUUGCUUUAAAAAAGGCGUAAUUUAUACACUUUGAUGUUGUAUUUUUACUGUUGAUUAUUAAAGGUUAUGAUUAUUAUGCCCACUCUU